AUUGAACGCUGGCGGCAUGCCUUACGCAUGCAAGUCGAACGGUAACGGGCCUUCGGGUGCCGACGAGUGGCGAACGGGUGAGUAAUACAUCGGAACGUGCCCGAUCGUGGGGGAUAACGAGGCGAAAGCUUUGCUAAUACCGCAUACGAUCUACGGAUGAAAGCAGGGGACCGCAAGGCCUUGCGCGGACGGAGCGGCCGAUGGCAGAUUAGGUAGUUUGUGGGAUAAAAGCUUACCAAGCCGACGAUCUGUAGCUGGUCUGAGAGGAUGAUCAGCCACACUGGGACUGAGACACGGCCCAGACUCCUACGGGAGGCAGCAGUGGGGAAUUUUGGACAAUGGGCGCAAGCCUGAUCCAGCCAUGCCGCGUGCAGGAUGAAGGCCUUCGGGUUGUAAACUGCUUUUGUACGGAACGAAAAGCCUUCUUUUAAUACAGGAGGGUCAUGACGGUACCGUAAGAAUAAGCACCGGCUAACUACGUG
RNAcentral lists this ribosomal RNA (482 nucleotides) under uncultured bacterium. Its description in RNAcentral is "partial 16S ribosomal RNA". It matches the Rfam family "Bacterial small subunit ribosomal RNA", at positions 30 to 507 of the family's 1533-position model. The record is from RNAcentral.